This 253-nucleotide ribosomal RNA is filed under the name uncultured bacterium. RNAcentral describes it as "partial 16S ribosomal RNA". It matches the Rfam family "Bacterial small subunit ribosomal RNA", at positions 524 to 776 of the family's 1533-position model. The record is from RNAcentral.
UACGUAGGGGGCGAGCGUUGUCCGGAAUGACUGGGCGUAAAGCGUGCGUAGGCGGCCUUACGCGUCUGAGGUUUAAGACCACGGCUCAACCGUGGGGGUGCCUUGGAAACGGUGAGGCUUGAGUGCUGGAGAGGCAAGGGGAAUUCCACGUGUAGCGGUGAAAUGCGUAGAGAUGUGGAGGAAUACCCGUGGCGAAGGCGCCUUGCUGGACAGUGACUGACGCUGAGGCACGAAAGCGUGGGGAGCAAACAGG